Non-coding RNA from Gossypium hirsutum (cotton), 71 nucleotides. The record is from Rfam. NCBI's taxonomy places the organism in Eukaryota, Viridiplantae, Streptophyta, Magnoliopsida, Malvales, Malvaceae.
GCGGAUAUAGUCGAAUGGUAAAAAUUCUCUUUGUCAAGGAGAAGACGCGGGUUCGUUUCCUGCUAUUCGCC